UACGUAGGGCGCAAGCGUUGUCCGGAAUUAUUGGGCGUAAAGAGCUCGUAGGCGGCCUGUUGCGUCCGCUGUGAAAUCCCGGGGCUCAACCCCGGGCGUGCAGUGGAUACGGGCUGGCUGGAGGCAGGCAGGGGAGAACGGAAUUCCUGGUGUAGCGGUGAAAUGCGCAGAUAUCAGGAGGAACACCGGUGGCGAAGGCGGUUCUCUGGGCCGAUACUGACGCUGAGGAGCGAAAGCUAGGGGAGCAAACGGG
This 253-nucleotide ribosomal RNA is filed under the name uncultured bacterium. Its description in RNAcentral is "partial 16S ribosomal RNA". It matches the Rfam family "Bacterial small subunit ribosomal RNA", at positions 524 to 776 of the family's 1533-position model. The record is from RNAcentral.